CCGGCAAAUCAGUGCCAUAGUAAUCUUAUAAUUUUAGUAAAUUGGCUGACCAGUCAAGGGUCAGAUACAUUUGUUUAUUUAAGGUAGAGCUUCGUUUAGUUAAACAACAUGUAUAGCAACAAGUUGCUAGGUAGUGUAGAAACAAAUGUUUCAGAGACAGGGUUGCUGUGUGAUAGCAACAUAAAGAAACUGAGCGUCAGAGUGUAGGGUAGGAGGGCAUGUGAGGAAUAUACAUGGGUCUCGCUCUAACCAAUGACUUUAAGCAUAACUGGCAAAGCUAAGUUAGUAUUAGUGCAGUGUGCAAUGCAAGAAAAACAAUAAUUGAGUAGCACAUGUUGUUUACAAUUUUAGCAAUAAGUUUUCUCGUUGCAAAUCCAUUCCCAAUCAAGAAAUCAGCGCCUGCAUAGGAUGUAGUAUCAGGGCAAACAUCAGCCUUUAUUAAUCCAAGAUCUAUACACCAAAGAAUCCAAUAUGUGUACAGGUGUUGGCCGUCAAGCAGAGUUUAAGUUGGAUUAAACACAGAUCAACCUCACACCAGUGGUCACAGGAAUUGAGAUUAGAAAGUUACAGUAGGUGGGCAGAUUUAUUUGGAGCAGAUUCAUUGUAGCUUUAUUCCUGUUUGAGAGUCCAGCACAGGC
Non-coding RNA from Drosophila bipectinata, 638 nucleotides. The record is from RefSeq and is a predicted model, not a curated record. Lineage: Eukaryota; Metazoa; Arthropoda; Insecta; Diptera; Drosophilidae.